This 1909-nucleotide long non-coding RNA is filed under the name Anser cygnoides (Swan goose). RNAcentral describes it as "lncRNA (ENSACDG00005005499.1)". Lineage: Eukaryota; Metazoa; Chordata; Aves; Anseriformes; Anatidae. The record is from RNAcentral.
AACACAAUAGGGGCUAAUGAAUAGAGCUUGCUGCACUCAAGAGACUGCAGUUCAAUUACUAGUGGUGCCAAUCAAGUCAGAAAUAUUAACCAUGGUAACAGCAGAUUUGAGUUGCAUGGAAUGAGGCAGUGGCUUCUUGGGGAAGAUCGCCUCUUGGGAGAGAAGGGGAUGCUUACAGUAAGAGUUGCCGAAGGUCGGAGAAUGCUUCUUUGUGGCAAAAGAGAGUAGUACUCAGCUCAUGCUACAGGGAGCUCUGUGUUGUUUGUAUUUGUUUUCACUGCAAUGUGCCUGAGAGGUUGUAACUAGCAAGUGUGCUUAACUAUGGGGCCUAUACUAUGUGCCUAGCAUAUAGAAAUGUAUUUCCUGUGUAUGUGUGCACGCAUUACACAAGGUACUUGCUAUACCCUAAUAUGUUGUACAAUAUAUUAGCUAAUUAUGUGAAAGAUACAUUUAAAUGGAGAUUAGGUCCUAAACAGGAGUAAAAUGUUGCUGAAGUCAUUGUGACUGCACUGAAUUCCACCAAUCGAAGCUGUAGCCUUUUAUAAGGAUUUACUUAAUAUAGUGCAUUUGUUCUGCUGGCUGAUGAUCAGAGUGAGGAUCCCUUGAUUUGAUACAAUGGCAGUGUUAUGUAUUAGUAGCAUGAACAGGAAGCAGCUGGCAUCCUGUUCAGAAAACAAUCUCAGUUUUUAUUGCAGAGAACAAUAUUGAAAAACAGCACGUGUGUGUGAGGGGCCUAAUCCUUAAAAAUGUGGGAGUUGAGAUACUGUCCCUUUUCAUUGACUAGUCACUUCUGGACUAUCGCUCUCAAUUUGUCUUUCUUCACAGAAAGCUGUUCUGGUUUUGGUCUUUUGGAAUACAGAGAAAACCAGCUUGAACCCCAAAAUGGCUGUUUUGCACCUGUCUGCUGCCUUAUCCUGCUGGAAUUUAAAUGAGGUUUCUGUGUUAUGGGUUAUGUCACCUAGGUUCUGCUUAUGCUGAAUGCUGAAAGAUAGACAUGUUGACUGCAUGAUGUUGAUCUUCAGUGGUUUCAGCAAGCCUCCAGAGGUAACUGUCGUUCUCUGUGAAGAUACAGGGAACCCCAGGGUAUUGUGCUUUUAACGUCAAUGACUCAGUUAGACAGUUGCAGUUACCAUAGCUGAAUCUCAGGUCUCCUCAGCUCUGUACUUUUGGGUCGACAGCAGCUGGGAGGGAGCUAAAGGUGGUCGUGUUCACAUCUGUAGCAACAGUGGAGAAGGGCUGAAAACUAGUAGACCAUCUGCCUGCUCAGAGAGGUUGCAGGCAAAACGCCUUAGGUAGCCCUGGUGGAGAAAGCCAUACAACCCUAUUCCACUAGUGCUGUUGUGCAAGGUGUCCCCAGUACCCACAACCAGACUGAGGGAGUGAUGGUACCUGCACUCCCGAUUCAUCUGGUCACGUUUUUCUCUGGCCCUGUAAUGGCACAAGAUGCCCUAGCUACUUUCCCCACUGUACUUAGGUAGUCCAUAUACCACCUGAGCCCCUUCUGGAUGCUUUAGAGGUCAGAAAGUCCCCUGCACAUUUUGUGCAUUGGCAUGAUCCACGCAAUCAGCCAAAAUUCAGGCCUACACGAAGACUGCCUGUCAUAAAAGGGAGAGCACGUGACAGAGUUACUCUCAUGUCUAUAACAAGAGGAGCCAGUAUGCUAAGAAAGGAACACAUAGCUGCAGGCUAGAUGAAUUAAUUUUUCCAGGACUGUUUGUGUCACAGCCUUGAUAAAACUCUGUUCUCUUUGUACGCUCCAAGAUGCUGUGUUUGGGUAAUGUUACAAGGUAUCUAAGUGUUUUUAGCUUUCUUAUGUCUCUGUUAGAUUUAGCCUCCCUUUCUGGCAGAGUUCUUUGAUAUGGAUAUUAUCUAUUACUGUUUCAGAGAAGCAAGACUGCUAUAGCCCAUC